Molecule: small RNA, 50 nt
Filed under: uncultured Saccharofermentans sp.
Lineage: Bacteria; Bacillati; Bacillota; Clostridia; Eubacteriales; Oscillospiraceae
Description: Streptococcus sRNA SpF59 (ldcC RNA)
Rfam family: Streptococcus sRNA SpF59 (ldcC RNA)
Source: RNAcentral
GACCACUCCCACGCGGAGUUGAGGCCACGGACAGCCGGGUCCACUGCCGA